AUUGUCCCAACAGGUAUUCCAGGUAUGGCUGUUGUAUUAUGCAUGCAUCAGUAUUGACAGAAAGAAGAAAGGCUGUGUCUAAACUCAGUCUCCUGACCUAUGAACAUGUGAACAAUUAAUAGCCUACUUG
Small nucleolar RNA from Mastomys coucha (southern multimammate mouse), 130 nucleotides. RefSeq annotates it as small nucleolar RNA SNORA17. The record is from RefSeq and is a predicted model, not a curated record. The transcript has a single exon. NCBI's taxonomy places the organism in Eukaryota, Metazoa, Chordata, Mammalia, Rodentia, Muridae.